This 927-nucleotide ribosomal RNA is filed under the name uncultured bacterium. RNAcentral describes it as "bacterial SSU rRNA". It matches the Rfam family "Bacterial small subunit ribosomal RNA", at positions 535 to 1464 of the family's 1533-position model. The record is from RNAcentral.
CGAGCGUUAAUCGGAAUUACUGGGCGUAAAGGGUCUGUAGGUGGUUUGUUAAGUCAGAUGUGAAAGCCCAGGGCUCAACCUUGGAACUGCAUUUGAUACUGGCAAACUAGAGUAUGGUAGAGGAAUGGGGAAUUUCUGGUGUAGCGGUGAAAUGCGUAGAGAUCAGAAGGAACACCAAUGGCGAAGGCAACAUUCUGGACCAAUACUGACACUGAGGGACGAAAGCGUGGGGAUCAAACAGGAUUAGAUACCCUGGUAGUCCACGCUGUAAACGAUGAGUACUAGCUGUUGGAUUCGGUGUAAAGGAUCUAGUGGCGUAGCUAACGCGUUAAGUACUCCGCCUGGGGACUACGGCCGCAAGGCUAAAACUCAAAGGAAUUGACGGGGACCCGCACAAGCGGUGGAGCAUGUGGUUUAAUUCGAUGCAACGCGAAGAACCUUACCUGGUCUUGACAUCCUGCGAACUUUCUAGAGAUAGAUUGGUGCCUUCGGGAACGCAGUGACAGGUGCUGCACGGCUGUCGUCAGCUCGUGUUGUGAAAUGUUGGGUUAAGUCCCGCAACGAGCGCAACCCCUAUUGAUAGUUACCAUCAUUAAGUUGGGUACUCUAUUGAGACUGCCGCUGACAAGGCGGAGGAAGGUGGGGACGACGUCAAGUCAUCAUGGCCCUUACGACCAGGGCUACACACGUGCUACAAUGGGUAUUACAGAGGGCAGCGAAGUAGCGAUAUGGAGCGAAACUCAGAAAGGUACUCUUAGUCCGGAUUGCAGUCUGCAACUCGACUGCAUGAAGUCGGAAUCGCUAGUAAUCGCAGGUCAGAAUACUGCGGUGAAUACGUUCCCGGGUCUUGUACACACCGCCCGUCACACCAUGGGAGUGGGUUGCUCCAGAAGUAGAUAGCUUAACGAAUGGGCGUUUACCACGGAG